AGAGUUUGAUUCUGGCUCAGGACAACGCUGGCGGCGUGCUUAACACAUGCAAGUUGAACGGGCAGACUUGUCUGUUAGUAGCGGACGGGUGAGUAAUGCAUGAGGAGCUGUCAUAGGGAGGGGGACAACAGUUGGAAACGGCUGCUAAUACCCCGUAGCCGGAAGGUGAAAGGAGCGAUCCGCCCGAUGAGGUACUCAUGUCCUAUCAGCUGGUUGGUGGGGUAACGGCCUACCAAGGCGACGACGGGUAGCCGGCCUGAGAGGGUGAACGGCCACACUGGAACUGAGAUACGGUCCAGACUCCUACGGGAGGCAGCAGUGGGGAAUAUUGGGCAAUGGGGGGAACCCUGACCCAGCGACGCCGCGUGAGGGCGGUUCGUUGACCUCUUUUGUACGGGGGAAACUGUACGAAUAAGUCCCGGCAACUACGUGCCAGCAGCCGCGGUAAUACGUAGGGGACGAGCGUUGUCCGGAAUUACUGGGCGUAAAGGGCGCGUAGGCUGUGCUGCAAGUCAGCUGUGAAAUAUCUGGGCUUAACCUGGAUAUGCGGAUGAGACUGCAGUGCUGGAGUGCUGUAGAGGCAAGUGGAAUUCCCAGUGUAGCGGUGAAAUGCGUAGAUAUUGGGAAGAACACCGGUGGCGAAGGCGACUUGCUGGGCACAACUGACGCUGAGGCGCGAAAGCCAGGGGAGCGAACGGGAUUAGAUACCCCGGUAGUCCUGGCCGUAAACGAUGAAUGCUAGGUGUGGGUGUAGAGAUACAUUCGUGCCGGAGUUAACGCGAUAAGCAUUCCGCCUGGGGAGUACGGUCGCAAGAUUGAAACUCAAAGGAAUUGACGGGGGCCCGCACAAGCGGUGGAGCACGUGGUUUAAUUCGAUGCAAACCGAAGAACCUUACCUGGGUACAUGACGUGGUACGAUCUGAAAGGUGAGGAUUGAGCGUCAAGGUGCUGCAUGGCUGUCGUCAGCUCGUGUCGUGAGAUGUUGGGUUAAGUCCCGCAACGAGCGCAACCCUUGCUGCCAGUUGCCAACGGGUAAUGCCGGGCACUCUGGCGGGACUGCCAUCGACAAGAUGGAGGAAGGUGGGGAUGACGUCAAGUCAUCAUGGCCCUUAUGUCCAGGGCGACACACGUGCUACAAUGGUCGGCACAGCGGGAAGCGAGGCAGUGAUGCCGAGCGAUCCCUUAAAGCCGGUCUCAGUUCGGAUUGAAGUCUGCAACUCGACUUCAUGAAGCUGGAAUCGCUAGUAAUCGCAGAUCAGCCAAGCUGCGGUGAAUACGUUCCCGGGCCUGUACACACCCCCGUC
RNAcentral lists this ribosomal RNA (1304 nucleotides) under uncultured Synergistota bacterium. RNAcentral's name for it is "bacterial SSU rRNA". It matches the Rfam family "Bacterial small subunit ribosomal RNA". Lineage: Bacteria; Thermotogati; Synergistota. The record is from RNAcentral.